UUCCGGUUGAUCCCGCCGGACCUGACUGCUAUCGGAUUGAUACUAAGCCAUGCGAGUCUUUGUAGUAAUACAAGGCAGACGGCUCAGUAACGCGUAGUCAACCUACCCUAUGGACGGGAAUAAUCUCGGGAAACUGAGCAUAAUACCCGGCGUACCACCAUUCCUGGAAUGGUUGGUGGUUAAAAUGAUUCGUCGCCGUAGGAUGGGACUGCGACCUAUCAGCUUGCUGGUGAGGUAAAGGCCCACCAAGGCGAUUACAGGUACGGGCUCUGAGAGGAGAAGCCCGGAGAUGGGUACUGAGACACGGACCCAGGCCCUAUGGGGCGCAGCAGGCGAGAAAACUUUGCAAUGUGCGAAAGCACGACAAGGUUAAUCCGAGUGAUUUCUGCUAAAGGAAUCUUUUGCCAGUUCUAAAAAUACUAGUGAAUAAGGGGUGGGCAAGUUCUGGUGUCAGCCGCCGCGGUAAAACCAGCACCUCAAGUGGUCAGGAGGAUUAUUGGGCCUAAAGCAUCCGUAGCCUGCUCUGUAAGUUUUCGGUUAAAUCUAUAUGCUCAACGUAUAGGCUGCCGAAAAUACUGCAGUGCUAGGAAGUGGGAGAGGUAGACGGUACUUGAUAGGAAGGGGUAAAAUCCUUUGAUCUAUCGAUGACCACCUGUGGCGAAGGCGGUCUACCAGAACACGUUCGACGGUGAGGGAUGAAAGCUGGGGGAGCAAACCGGAUUAGAUACCCGGGUAGUCCCAGCUGUAAACGAUGCAGACUCGAUGAUGCAUUGGCAUAUAGCCAGUGCAGUGUCGCAGGGAAGCCGUUAAGUCUGCCGCCUGGGAAGUACGUACGCAAGUAUGAAACUUAAAGGAAUUGGCGGGGGAGCACCACAAGGGGUGAAGCCUGCGGUUCAAUUGGAGUCAACGCCGGG
This 914-nucleotide ribosomal RNA is filed under the name uncultured archaeon. RNAcentral's name for it is "bacterial SSU rRNA". It matches the Rfam family "Archaeal small subunit ribosomal RNA", at positions 1 to 922 of the family's 1478-position model. The record is from RNAcentral.